AGUUCUGUAGUGUAGCGGUUAGCAUGUCUGCUUUACACGCAGAAAGUCCUGGGUUCAUGCCCCAGUGGAGCCA
Molecule: transfer RNA, 73 nt
Filed under: Pteropus alecto (black flying fox)
Lineage: Eukaryota; Metazoa; Chordata; Mammalia; Chiroptera; Pteropodidae
Rfam family: tRNA
About the family: Transfer RNA (tRNA) molecules are approximately 80 nucleotides in length. Their secondary structure includes four short double-helical elements and three loops (D, anti-codon, and T loops). Further hydrogen bonds mediate the characteristic L-shaped molecular structure. tRNAs have two regions of fundamental functional importance: the anti-codon, which is responsible for specific mRNA codon recognition, and the 3' end, to which the tRNAs corresponding amino acid is attached (by aminoacyl-tRNA synthetases). tRNAs cope with the degeneracy of the genetic code in two manners: having more than one tRNA (with a specific anti-codon) for a particular amino acid; and 'wobble' base-pairing, i.e. permitting non-standard base-pairing at the 3rd anti-codon position.
Source: Rfam by way of RNAcentral